Molecule: long non-coding RNA, 583 nt
Filed under: Helianthus annuus (common sunflower)
Lineage: Eukaryota; Viridiplantae; Streptophyta; Magnoliopsida; Asterales; Asteraceae
Description: hypothetical non coding rna
Source: RNAcentral
UUCAUUUGAACACUUUUAUGACUUGAUUAGAUUAGAUUUACUUUCUUGUUGUUCAUGACCCUCCCACCAUCUUCAUGACGGUGUGUGUAGUGGUGAAUCAUAUAAUGAGGUUUCAACCUCCAUGCUUGACAAUACAUGAUACUACAUGACAUUCUUUGAUUGGACAUAGUUUAGGUCAUAUUAUUACCUUAUAAAUAUACAUAUAAUUAUACAAUACAUGGCUGAAUUUGUGAUGGUAAUCAAGUUGUGAUUAUUCGUCAUAAACCUAGGCUAACAUAUCUAAGAUUCUAAGUUAUUUGUUAUGAUUCCAAUGGGCAAUUUGGGACCCAUGAAACCACUUAAUAUGGUGUCAUAAACGAGCUCUUAGAACUAGAUAAUAUUUUCAUAUACAUACUUUUGAUACUUUAAUUUCUAAAUCCCGAAUCUCACCACUUCCUAAAUAUCAAGAAACCUUGCCAAUAAAUCCUUAUUCUCUAACAACUCGCCACUCAUGGAUAAUCGGAAAGCAUAUGCAAUUUUGUUGAUGAGGACGAUGCUAAGAAAAGAAGUAGCGUUGAUGCCUAGAUACACAUAUAGACGUUAG